GCCUCGGUGGCUCAGUCGGUUGAGCAUCUGACUUUGGCUCAGGUCACGAUCUCAGGGUCUGUGGGUUCGAGCCCCGCGUCGGGCU
RNAcentral lists this transfer RNA (85 nucleotides) under Felis catus (domestic cat). It matches the Rfam family "tRNA". Rfam says of the family: Transfer RNA (tRNA) molecules are approximately 80 nucleotides in length. Their secondary structure includes four short double-helical elements and three loops (D, anti-codon, and T loops). Lineage: Eukaryota; Metazoa; Chordata; Mammalia; Carnivora; Felidae. The record is from Rfam by way of RNAcentral.